RNAcentral lists this ribosomal RNA (234 nucleotides) under Triticum aestivum (bread wheat). Its description in RNAcentral is "partial small subunit ribosomal RNA". Lineage: Eukaryota; Viridiplantae; Streptophyta; Magnoliopsida; Poales; Poaceae. The record is from RNAcentral.
AUGUUCAUGCACCAGAGAGCUGUUCGUCGUGUUGGGAGACCGUUGAUCCGCUAUGGUCCAUUGUUUCCCCGGGAACAGGAGAGGAUCCAAAAUCUGAACUACAUCUACAACUGCAAUGACGUCGAGGCUCUGUGGAUGCUUAGAAUGAAAAGAACACCAUUUGCCAGGCUUGUCGAGACCUUCAGGAGCAGGGGCCUGUUACAAGAUAGUAUCAACACCAGUGUAGAAGAGUAA